ACAUCCAGAGAACUUAGCAGAGAUGCUUUGGUGCCUUCGGGAACUCUGAGACAGGUGCUGCAUGGCUGUCGUCAGCUCGUGUUGUGAAAUGUUGGGUUAAGUCCCGCAACGAGCGCAACCCUUAUCCUUUGUUGCCAGCGGUUCGGCCGGGAACUCAAAGGAGACUGCCGGUGAUAAACCGGAGGAAGGUGGGGAUGACGUCAAGUCAUCAUGGCCCUUACGGCCAGGGCUACACACGUGCUACAAUGGCGCAUACAAAGAGAAGCGACCUCGCGAGAGCAAGCGGACCUCAUAAGGUGCGUCGUAGUCCGGAUUGGAGUCUGCAACUCGACUCCAUGAAGUCGGAAUCGCUAGUAAUCGUAGAUCAGAAUGCUACGGUGAAUACGUUCCCGGGCCUUGUACACACCGCCCGUCACACCAUGGGAGUGGGUUGCAAAAGAAGUAGGUAGCUUAACCUUCGGGAGGGCGCUUACCACUUUGUGAUUCAUGACUGGGGUGAAGUCGUAACAAGGUAGGCGUAGCGAG
This 525-nucleotide ribosomal RNA is filed under the name uncultured bacterium. RNAcentral describes it as "bacterial SSU rRNA". It matches the Rfam family "Bacterial small subunit ribosomal RNA", at positions 984 to 1509 of the family's 1533-position model. The record is from RNAcentral.